This 499-nucleotide ribosomal RNA is filed under the name uncultured bacterium. RNAcentral's name for it is "partial 16S ribosomal RNA". It matches the Rfam family "Bacterial small subunit ribosomal RNA", at positions 28 to 507 of the family's 1533-position model. The record is from RNAcentral.
GACGAACGCUGGCGGCGUGCCUAAUACAUGCAAGUCGAGCGGACUGACUGGGAGCUUGCUCUUGUUCGGUCAGCGGCGGACGGGUGAGUAACACGUGGGCAACCUGCCCGCAAGACCGGGAUAACUCCGGGAAACCGGAGCUAAUACCGGAUAACACCGAAGACCGCAUGGUCUUUGGUUGAAAGGCGGCGCAAGCUGCCACUUGCGGAUGGGCCCGCGGCGCAUUAGCUAGUUGGUGAGGUAACGGCUCACCAAGGCGACGAUGCGUAGCCGGCCUGAGAGGGUGACCGGCCACACUGGGACGGAGACACGGCCCAGACUCCUACGGGAGGCAGCAGUAGGGAAUCUUCCGCAAUGGGCGAAAGCCUGACGGAGCGACGCCGCGUGAGCGAAGAAGGCCUUCGGGUCGUAAAGCUCUGUUGUGAGGGACGAAGGAGCGCCGUUUGAAGAAGGCGGCGCGGUGACGGUACCUCACGAGGAAGCCCCGGCUAACUACGUG